CUAAGGAUGAUCCUUCAGCGAGCUCACGCUCACUAUCGGAUCGUUUUAGAAACAUCAGUGGCCAACAGAUCGCCAGAUCGUUGAGCUGCAUUGGCGGGAUUUCGCCGUCUUCGUUUCUCUUUCUUCGCGGACGAACACGCGCCGGGGCUGCGCUGUGCGAUUGCAUUCGGCGCUGGUCGCCGGUCGACGCACGCAAGACCCUAAUCCUGAAAGGGAUAGCGUUAGGGCUUGUAGCUCAGUUGGUUAGAGCGCGCGCUUGAUAAGCGUGAGGUCGGAAGUUCAAGUCUUCCCAGGCCCACCACGCUUCGCCGUCGGCUUCGCAUGGCACCGCCAGGCAGAACGACGAGGCGAAGCGCGUCCGGCAUAGCCCGAAGGGCGACGCCGGACAGAAAGAGCGCUUCGUCUUCUGGUUACGGGGCCAUAGCUCAGCUGGGAGAGCGCGUGCUUUGCAAGCAUGAGGUCGUCGGUUCGAUCCCGUCUGGCUCCACCAGAUGGUUUGAUCACCGAGAUCUUGACCGUCGUCCGCGAAACAUCACUUCGCAUCCUGCUAGUCUGGAUAGACAGCAAGUUGCGUGUUUUCUGACAUCGUAAAGAGGAGAUCGAUCCGAGUUGGAUCGUGCAACAUAUCGUUGCGCGAGCCUUCAUUAUCUCCGGAUCAUUUCGGCGCUCGCUUCCAGCCGUGAGGUUGGAUGCGGGUUGUAAAUGAUCCUUUUAGCGAAGCUUGACCGCCUCGCUAUCGGAACGAUCUUACGAAGCAAGCUGGUCUUUCUAGUCAAUGUCCGGCUGUACGUAGCAUUCAUCGAGGGUGCGCGCCCGAGAUUUCGGUCUCUUGGCAAUCGUACAGACAACAUUCUGCCGAGUGUGUGGACAUUGAUAAUGAGAGCAAUCAAGUGCCUUAAGGGUGUUCGGUGGAUGCCUUGGCGCUGAGAGGCGAUGAAGGACGUGCUACGCUGCGAUAAGCCG
RNAcentral lists this unclassified non-coding RNA (963 nucleotides) under Bradyrhizobium sp. LCM 3682. RNAcentral describes it as "partial 16S-23S ribosomal RNA intergenic spacer". The stretch from base 225 to 298 matches the Rfam family "tRNA". The record is from RNAcentral. Lineage: Bacteria; Pseudomonadati; Pseudomonadota; Alphaproteobacteria; Hyphomicrobiales; Nitrobacteraceae.